This is a long non-coding RNA of Diprion similis, 981 nucleotides long. RefSeq lists it as uncharacterized. The transcript has 2 exons. Lineage: Eukaryota; Metazoa; Arthropoda; Insecta; Hymenoptera; Diprionidae. The record is from RefSeq and is a predicted model, not a curated record.
ACCGCGUUAUAUACCUAUAUUCUUACGAUCUUGAUGCAAUGAUCCACGGUUCCGCAUAUUACCGGAAAACGGGCAAUUAUGUAAUCUGUCUGGUUAUGCAAUCGACGUGUGUAAUACACUAAGCAAUACGGAAGCGAAUUGAACAUUCUCCGGCAUGAUACGUCGGUAAAAAUUUGAUUAACGCUCGUACAGCAAGACUUAAGAUAUUAGAAUUAUAUCAUACAAUUAAAUAUAAUGAAAAUCAGUACUUGUGUAAAAAGUAAGAUUAAAUCUUACUUUUCAAUGGAAAAACAACAAUCUAAUAAAUAAUUUACAUAAUUUCUAUUCAAUUAUUAUCGUAAUAAUGUAACGUAUACAGAAUCUUGUCAUAUUAUUAGAUUCAUUAUUGAAUCAUAUUGUUUUUAAUGUUAUCGGUGAAUGACAAUUUUUAUCGGCAGUAACUUUUGAAAUAUUUGAGUAUUACCACUCGGGUGUAUAAUGAUUUUGAAUUUGAAAAUCGUAAUAUGACGGUUGUGCUAAAAAUUUUAUUAGUAUCUCUAAUUUUUUGGAAAAAUUCGUGAAAAUGGUCGAUAGGUGAUUUAAAACAGGGAAAACUCUGCCUGUUGUAAUGCAAUUCAGUGCAUACAUUUUACCGAUGGAGAUUUUUUUUUUUUUUUUCCACCAUAAGUGAUUGGAAAAAGUGAGGAAUUCGGCUAAUCGUGAAAAAUUAAGGAAUUGCGUAAAUUCAGGUGAAUUACCAUCCGGCUAAAAUAUUUUCACGAAUUUUCCCUGUAUAAUAAUUUACCCGUAUUUUAUUCAUGUGAAAUAUGUUGUUGUAUGUUUUGAAAAUCAAACUCUUACAAGGAGUUUCUAUUAUUAUCUUAUGUAUAAAAUUUUACAAUUAGAAACUAUGGCGCGAUAAUGUAUAUCGUGUAAAUAGUACGCAUUUACGAUUGUCAUUGUCUAUAUAGAUGAAUAUAUAAUAUACGAAUAUUUAUAAUU